Molecule: long non-coding RNA, 2859 nt
Organism: Bombina bombina (fire-bellied toad)
Lineage: Eukaryota; Metazoa; Chordata; Amphibia; Anura; Bombinatoridae
Exons: 3
Source: RefSeq, a predicted model, not a curated record
GUAUGAGAGAGGUAAGGGAGAAGAGAGAGAGAGGUGAGAUACAAACAGUAUGAGAGAGGUAAGGGAGAGGAGAGAGAGGUGAGGUACAAACAGUAUGAGAGAGGUAAGGGAGAGGAGAGAGAGGUGAGGUACAAACAGUAUGAGAGAGGUAAGGGAGAGGAGAGAGAGGUGAGGUACAAACAGUAUGACAGAGGUAAAGGAGAGGAGAGAGAGGUGAGGUACAAACAGUAUGAGAGAGGUAAGGGAGAGGAGAGAGAGGUGAGGUACAAACAGUAUGAGAGAGAUAAGGGAGAGGAGAGAGAGGUGAGGUACAAACAGUAUGAGAGAGGUAAGGGAGAGGAGAGAGAGGUGAGGUACAAACAGUAUGAGAGAGGUAAGGGAGAGGAGAGAGAGGUAAGGUACAAACAGUAUGAGAGAGGUAAGGGAGAGGAGAGAGAGAGGUGAGAUACAAACAGUAUGAGAGAAGUAAGGGAGAGGAGAGAGAGGUGAGGUACAAACAGUAUGAGAGAGGUAAGGGAGAGGAAGAGAGAGGUGAGGUACAAACAGUAUGAGAGAGGUAAGGGAGAGGAAGAGAGAGGUGAGGUACAAACAGUAUGAGAGAGGUAAGGGAGAGGAGAGAGAGGUGAGGAACAAACAGUAUGAGAGAGGUAAGGGAGAGGAGAGAGAGAGGUGAGAUACAAACAGUAUGAGAGAGGUAAGGGAGAGGAGAGAGAGGUGAGGUACAAACAGUAUGAGAGAGGUAAGGGAGAGGAAGAGAGAGGUGAGGUACAAACAGUAUGAGAGAGGUAAGGGAGAGGAGAGAGAGGUGAGGAACUAACAGUAUGAGAGAGGUAAGGGAGAGGAGAGAGAGGUGAGGUACAAACAGUAUGAGAGAGGUAAGGGAGAGGAAGAGAGAGGUGAGGUACAAACAGUAUGAGAGAGGUAAGGGAGAGGAAGAGAGAGGUGAGGUACAAACAGUAUGAGAGAGGUAAGGGAGAGGAAGAGAGAGGUGAGGUACAAACAGUAUGAGAGAGAUAAGGGAGAGGAGAGAGAGCUGAGGUACAAACAGUAUGAGAGAGAUAAGGGAGAGGAGAGAGAGGUGAGGUACAAACAGUAUGAGAGAGGUAAGGGAGAGGAAGAGAGAGGUGAGGUACAAACAGUAUGAGAGAGGUAAGGGAGAGGAAGAGAGAGGUGAGGUACAAACAGUAUGAGAGAGGUAAGGGAGAGGAGAGAGAGGUGAGAUACAAACAGUAUGAGAGAGGUAAGGGAGAGGAGAGAGAGGUGAGGUACAAACAGUAUGAGAGAGGUAAGGGAGAGGAAGAGAGAGGUGAGGUACAAACAGUAUGAGAGAGGUAAGGGAGAGGAAGAGAGAGGUGAGGUACAAACAGUAUGAGAGAGGUAAGGGAGAGGAGAGAGAGGUGAGUUACAAACAGUAUGAGAGAGGUAAGGGAGAGGAGAGAGAGGUGAGAUACAAACAGUAUGAGAGAGGUAAGGGAGAGGAGAGAGAGGUGAGUUACAAACAGUAUGAGAGAGGUAAGGGAGAGGAGAGAGAGGUGAGAUACAAACAGUAUGAGAGAGGUAAGGGAGAGGAGAGAGAGGUGAGGUGCAAACAGUAUGAGAGAGGUAAGGGAGAGGAGAGAGAGGUGAGAUACAAACUGUAUGAGAGAGGUAAGGGAGAGGAGAGAGAGGUGAGGUACAAACAGUAUGAGAGAGGUAAGGGAGAGGAGAGAGAGGUGAGGUACAAGCAGUAUGAGAGAGGUAAUGGAGAGGAGAGAGAGGUGAGAUACAAACUGUAUGAGAGAGGUAAGGGAGAGGAAAGAGAGGUGAGGUACAAACAGUAUGAAAGAGAUAAGGGAGAGGAGAGAGAGGUGAGGUACAAACAGUAUGAGAGAGAUAAGGGAGAGGAGAGAGAGGUGAGGUACAAACAGUAUGAGAGAGGUAAAGGAGAGGAAGAGAGAGGUGAGAUACAAACAGUAUGAGAGAGGUAAAGGAGAGGAGAGAGAGGUGAGGUACAAACAGUAUGAGAAAGGUAAGGGAGAGGAGAGAGAGGUGAGGUAAAAACAGUAUGAGAGAGGUAAAGGAGAGGAGAGAGAGGUGAGGUACAAACAGUAUGAGAAAGGUAAGGGAGAGGAGAGAGAGGUGAGGUACAAACAGUAUGAGAGAGGUAAAGGAGAGGAAGAGAGAGGUGAGAUACAAACAGUAUGAGAGAGGUAAGGGAGAGGAGAGAGAGGUGAGGUACAAACAGUAUGAGAGAGAUAAGGGAGAGGAGAGAGAGGUGAGGUACAAACAGUAUGAGAGAGAUAAGGGAGAGGAGAGAGAGGUGAGGUACAAACAGUAUGAGAGAGAUAAGGGAGAGGAAGAGAGAGCUGAGGUACAAACAGUAUGAGAGAGGUAAGGGAGAGGAAGGGAGAGGUGAGGUAGAUACAGUAUGAGAGAGGUAAAGGAGAGGAGAGAGAGAGGUGAGAUACAAACAGUAUGAGAGAGGUAAGGGAGAGGAGAGAGAGGUGAGGUACAAACAGUAUGAGAGAGGUAAGGGAGAGGAGAGAGAGGUGAGAUACAAACAGUAUGAGAGAGAUAAGGGAGAGGAGAGAGAGGUGAGGUACAAACAGUAUGAGAGAGGUAAGAGAGAGGAGAGAGAGGUGAGGUACAAACAGUAUGAGAGAGGUAAGGGAGAGGAGAGAGAGGUGAGGUACAAACAGUUUGAGAGAGGUAAGGGAGAGGAGAGAGAGGUAAGGUACAAACAGUAUGAGAGAGGUAAGGAAGAGGAAGAGAGAGGUGAGAUACAAACAGUAUGAGAGAGGUAAAGGAGAGGAAGAGAGAGGUGAGGUACAAACAGUAUGAGAGAGGUAAGGGAGAGGAGAGAGAGGUGAGGUACAAACA